This 335-nucleotide ribosomal RNA is filed under the name Salmonella enterica. RNAcentral describes it as "partial 23S ribosomal RNA". It matches the Rfam family "Bacterial large subunit ribosomal RNA", at positions 703 to 1035 of the family's 2925-position model. The record is from RNAcentral. Lineage: Bacteria; Pseudomonadati; Pseudomonadota; Gammaproteobacteria; Enterobacterales; Enterobacteriaceae.
CAGGGUAUAGACCCGAAACCCGGUGAUCUAGCCAUGGGCAGGUUGAAGGUUGGGUAACACUAACUGGAGGACCGAACCGACUAAUGUUGAAAAAUUAGCGGAUGACCUGUGGCUGGGGGUGAAAGGCCAAUCAAACCGGGAGAUAGCUGGUUCUCCCCGAAAGCUAUUUAGGUAGCGCCUCGUGAAUUCAUCUCCGGGGGUAGAGCACUGUUUCGGCUAGGGGGCCAUCCCGGCUUACCAACCCGAUGCAAACUGCGAAUACCGGAGAAUGUUAUCACGGGAGACACACGGCGGGUGCUAACGUCCGUCGUGAAGAGGGAAACAACCCAGACCGC